Long non-coding RNA from Astatotilapia calliptera (eastern happy), 981 nucleotides. NCBI's taxonomy places the organism in Eukaryota, Metazoa, Chordata, Actinopteri, Cichliformes, Cichlidae. The record is from Ensembl.
GAAACACGGCGGCUCAAACGCUCAAAAGUUUGGUUAUACUUUACGAGAGCGGAUGACAACAGGGCAACUUUCAAUACUUGCAAAGUAGAUAUUUCAUUUAAGGGAGGAAACACUACGAAUAUGCAAAAGCAUUUGCUCACAAAACACACGAUGACCUUAAAUGAAUGUCGUGGUUUUAAUUCAGCUCGUGAAUCUCAACCCAGCAGCAGCGGUAACGUUUGCACGUCCUCUCCCGUUAAUGCGGCAGGUGACCAUGAUGAGAGAGACAGAGUCUGGCUGGCGCUCGCUGGCAGUUCUCGCUGCAGUCUACCGGUAGCGUCUCCUUUCAGGCCAGGAUAGACGAAUGUCACCGAGCAGUGACUAAGUUUGUGGUCAAAGGCUUGCCACAGCAGAUGCCCCGAUUUUCAAUUAUCUGUCCCGAGGGAGACCAGCGAGGAGCAAGUUUGGUAUGAGAUAGCUUUGCUAAAGUGUGUGUAUAGAUGGCUGUCACUGUUAAAAUCAUCAUUCCAGUGCCUGUCUAAAAGAAGCCUGUGGUUCUUUGUUUUGUUUUGUUUUUCAUCUUACACUCAAAAUGAAAGUGAAGGCAAGAUUCUUAAGUGGUUUGGGCCUCAAAAAUAUAUCUGCAGGAUCUGAUUCAUUAACUGGAUAGAUUUUUUUUUAUUGUUAUUAUCAUUCUCGGCAGAUGGACACCCAUCCCCGAGCCUGAAUCCGCUGGAGAUUUCUUCCUUUUAAAAGGGAGUUUUUCCUUCCCAUUGUUGCCAAAGUGCUUGAUUUUUGAUGAUUUUUUUUUUUUUGGGGGGGGGGGGGGGUUGUAUUAUUGUAAGGUCUACCUUACUCUAUAAAGCACCUUGAGGUGACUGUUGUUGAGAUUUGGUGCUUUAUAAAUAAAACUGAAUUGAAUUGAAUUCUUCUUUUGGCCCGUUCUUAAACCUCUAGAUGUCAACAAUUUUUUUCUUUCCUGCACUCUAUUUGAAAUACAUA